AGUGAACGCUGGUGGCGUGCUUAACACAUGCAAGUCGAACGAGAACGGAUUAUAGCUUGCUAUAAUUGUCAGCUAAGUGGCGCACGGGUGAGUAAUGUAUAGGUAAUAUGCCUCUUACUAAGGGAUAACAAAUGGAAACGUUUGCUAAUACCUUAUACUCCUUAUUAACAGAAGUUAAUAAGGGAAAGAUUUAUUGGUAAGAGAUUAGCCUGUAUUGUAUCAGUUAGUUGGUGGGGUAAUGGCUUACCAAGACUAUGACACAUAACUGGUUUGGGAGGAUGAUCAGUCACACUGGAACUGAGACACGGUCCAGACCCCUACGGGAGGCAGCAGUGGGGAAUAUUGCACAAUGGACGAAAGUCUGAUGCAGCAACGCCGCGUGGAGGAUGACACAUUUCGGUGCGUAAACUCCUUUUAUAUGAGAAGAUAAUGACGGUAUUAUAUGAAUAAGCACCGGCUAACUCCGUGCCAGCCGCCGCCGUAA
Molecule: ribosomal RNA, 484 nt
Filed under: uncultured bacterium
Lineage: Bacteria
Description: partial 16S ribosomal RNA
Rfam family: Bacterial small subunit ribosomal RNA
Source: RNAcentral